This is a long non-coding RNA of Orussus abietinus, 254 nucleotides long. RefSeq lists it as uncharacterized. The transcript has 2 exons. The record is from RefSeq and is a predicted model, not a curated record. NCBI's taxonomy places the organism in Eukaryota, Metazoa, Arthropoda, Insecta, Hymenoptera, Orussidae.
AAAAAGCUCGCCCGAGAAGUGAUCGAGUCCUCCUAGAGAAUAAUUCUCCCCUGAAACAUCUGAAAUCGUCGGAAAACAGGUUAAACGCAUACGCGGGUUCACUUUGGAAAAUUGCAGCAGCUCGACCCGAUUACAAGAUUACGUCUCGACCUCGUCACUCUCACGAUCCUUCGUAGAGGCAUUAAAGAGAAUUCACCGGAACUCGAAAAUGGAUGGCCAUGGAAAUGUAACAAAAAAAAAAGGGCUUAUUAGAG